UGGCAGCAAGAGUGAUGAUUGAAUUAGAUGUUUGAAGGGCAACUUCUUCAUGAACUCAAUGUUAUGAGGCUUAUUGAUAUUCUGACCUGCUACGC
Molecule: small nucleolar RNA, 95 nt
Organism: Syzygium oleosum
Lineage: Eukaryota; Viridiplantae; Streptophyta; Magnoliopsida; Myrtales; Myrtaceae
Product: small nucleolar RNA Z266
Exons: 1
Source: RefSeq, a predicted model, not a curated record